CGGCGAUUCGGGCCUCUGCUUCUGCAUCGGCGGCCAGAUCAGCGUCGAUGUGUUCCCCAAGGGCUGGGACAAGACGUACUCGCUGCAGUUCGUCGAGAAGGAGGGCUUUGAUGAGAUUCACUUUUUCGGCGACAAGACGAGUCCGGGCGGCAACGAUCACGCCAUCUAUGAGGACCCGCGCACGGUGGGCCACUCUGUCGUCGACCCCAGCGACACGCGGCGGCAGGUGGAGGAACUGCUCAAACUACGCUGACGACGCUAGCGACGAUAGCGGCGAGUUGGGAAACUGUGUUCUCGGCUAGAGGACUUAUUGCUAUAGGUGGCGCGCUAGGACCAAGGCUGCCCAGCGUCUGCAGACUGGGUGGAUGAUUUGAUGCGGCAUUUGAUGCCACACCAAAGCUUGUUUCGUGGUGCCUCAGCUUUGGGAUCUGACUCGUGGAUUUUCAAGAAUAUGUCACUCUGCUUUGUUAAAAUUUAAGAAAUGUAGCGUCGCUCGUGUGAUAAAAUGCCUACUCUUGAAACACGUUUGUGAAUUACUGGUGAGCUAUGUCAGUUUUUAGAAGCGAAUAUGACUGACCAGCGCGUACUGGCGACUAGGUUUUCAUCUGUACUUGUUGCGGCUUGCCGUAUAUUACGGCUGUUACGCAUUGUCAUGAUAAUUCAAUGCGCAUUUAACCGACCAACCAAAGUUUGAUCAUUUCUUAAAACUAUGUUUUUCAUUGGACUGGAGGCAUUGAGUGGGGAUUUUUCUACGUUUUGCAUAUUAAUGUGGAAUAUGUUACUUCCCAUUGUCUGAUAUCCAGCAUUCAUUAAAUUGUUUGUGUAUUUUUCGGUACGAGCGGUUCUUAUUUCCGAUGCGGUUAUUUUCGUGGUGGUUUGUACGUCGCACUUGUACGUAGGAUCGUUUUCGUUUUGUUUUCCGCUGUUCUAAAAAGGUGUUUUCCAAUAAACCGUCUCAAAGUUUGAA
Molecule: long non-coding RNA, 967 nt
Organism: Pollicipes pollicipes
Lineage: Eukaryota; Metazoa; Arthropoda; Thecostraca; Pollicipedomorpha; Pollicipedidae
Exons: 3
Source: RefSeq, a predicted model, not a curated record